GGAGAGAUGGCCGAGUAGGUCGAAGGCGCUCGCCUGCUAAGCGAGUAUACUCCGAAAGGGGUAUCCCGGGUUCGAAUCCCGGUCUCUCCGCCA
This 93-nucleotide transfer RNA is filed under the name Hyphomicrobiales bacterium. Its description in RNAcentral is "tRNA-Ser". It matches the Rfam family "tRNA". From Rfam's summary of the family: Transfer RNA (tRNA) molecules are approximately 80 nucleotides in length. Their secondary structure includes four short double-helical elements and three loops (D, anti-codon, and T loops). Further hydrogen bonds mediate the characteristic L-shaped molecular structure. tRNAs have two regions of fundamental functional importance: the anti-codon, which is responsible for specific mRNA codon recognition, and the 3' end, to which the tRNAs corresponding amino acid is attached (by aminoacyl-tRNA synthetases). tRNAs cope with the degeneracy of the genetic code in two manners: having more than one tRNA (with a specific anti-codon) for a particular amino acid; and 'wobble' base-pairing, i.e. permitting non-standard base-pairing at the 3rd anti-codon position. The record is from RNAcentral. RNAcentral also lists the same sequence under 6 other names. Lineage: Bacteria; Pseudomonadati; Pseudomonadota; Alphaproteobacteria; Hyphomicrobiales.